RNAcentral lists this ribosomal RNA (433 nucleotides) under uncultured bacterium. Its description in RNAcentral is "partial 16S ribosomal RNA". It matches the Rfam family "Bacterial small subunit ribosomal RNA", at positions 29 to 507 of the family's 1533-position model. The record is from RNAcentral.
AGCGAACGCUGGCGGCAGGCCCAACACAUGCAAGUCGAACGAACUCUUCGGAGUUAGUGGCGGACGGGUGAGUAACACGUGGGAACGUGCCUUUUGGUUCGGAAUAACUCAGGGAAACUUGUGCUAAUACCGAAUGUGCCCUUCGGGGGAAAGAUUUAUCGCCAUUAGAGCGGCCCGCGUCUGAUUAGCUAGUUGGUGAGGUAACGGCUCACCAAGGCGACGAUCAGUAGCUGGUCUGAGAGGAUGACCAGCCACACUGGGACUGAGACACGGCCCAGACUCCUACGGGAGGCGGCAGUGGGGAAUCUUGCGCAAUGGGCGAAAGCCUGACGCAGCCAUGCCGCGUGAAUGAUGAAGGUCUUAGGAUUGUAAAAUUCUUUCACCGGGGACGAUAAUGACGGUACCCGGAGAAGAAGCCCCGGCUAACUUCGUG